UACAUGGGGUGCAAACGUUGCUCGGAAUCAUUGGGCGUAAAGCGCGCGUAGGCGGUUGCUUAAGUCGGAUGUGAAAGCCCUCGGCUUAACUGAGGAAGUGCAUCCGAAACUGAGCAGCUAGAGUACGAAAGAGGGUCGCGGAAUUCCCGGUGUAGAGGUGAAAUUCGUAGAUAUCGGGAGGAACACCGAUUGCGAAGGCAGCUCGCUGGGACGUUACUGACGCUGAGACGCGAAAGCGUGGGGAGCAAACAGG
RNAcentral lists this ribosomal RNA (253 nucleotides) under uncultured bacterium. RNAcentral's name for it is "partial 16S ribosomal RNA". It matches the Rfam family "Bacterial small subunit ribosomal RNA", at positions 524 to 776 of the family's 1533-position model. The record is from RNAcentral.